Molecule: ribosomal RNA, 410 nt
Filed under: uncultured bacterium
Lineage: Bacteria
Description: bacterial SSU rRNA
Rfam family: Bacterial small subunit ribosomal RNA
Source: RNAcentral
UCCACGCCGUAAACGAUGUUCACUCGCUGUUUGCGAUACACAGCAAGCGGCCAAGCGAAAGCAUUAAGUGAACCACCUGGGGAGUACGCCGGCAACGGUGAAACUCAAAGGAAUUGACGGGGGCCCGCACAAGCGGAGGAACAUGUGGUUUAAUUCGAUGAUACGCGAGGAACCUUACCUGGGCUUAAAUGUAGAGUGCAUGUUGUGGAAACACACUUCCCUUCGGGGCUCUUUACAAGGUGCUGCAUGGUUGUCGUCAGCUCGUGCCGUGAGGUGUCGGGUUAAGUCCCAUAACGAGCGCAACCCCUACUGUUAGUUGCCAUCAGGUCAAGCUGGGCACUCUAGCGGGACUGCCACCGUAAGGUGAGAGGAAGGUGGGGAUGACGUCAAAUCAGCACGGCCCUUAUGUC